AAAUAUGCAGAAAUUAUUCUAUGCGAAAUAUUGAACAAAUAUUUAGAAAUUAUUACAUGCUACUAGGGUUGAUUUGGUUGCACAAUGGAGAAUGCAGGUUUGUACGGUUAUAUGUAUUGCAUUUCUUUUUUAAUAGUUUAUAAGGUAAGAAAAACCUGUUUUUUUAUAUUUUAUGCUUGUUCUCCUGAAUAUGUUCUACAACGUGUUGCAAGUCAAUGUUCGGCUAAUCCCCUGAAUCAAGAGUAAUUACAGUUAAUUGCAGUCGCUCGAUAGCACAGUUAGUCAGAUAAGUUCUCGUGUAUUACCGAUAAUAUGCAGAUGUAAAUAUUGAUUAAGAUUUUUGGAAAUAUCAGUAAAUCCUCGGAGUACAUCGGCAGUAUUAAGAUAAGCUGCUGUGAGAAAUUGCGAAUUACGUGUCGGAAAUGGUUAAUUGACAUUAAAUCUUUUUAUUCAACUUAUAGAAUAUAAAACUACAGGUGUGUUCAUUUUAUUGUAAAGUGCAAAAAUGUACUACAAGCCCCCCUAAUAGCACAAAAUAAUUGUCUUAUAUUUUCUAUAUAUUUACUAAAUACCCUACGUUUUGCAAAUAUUUAUCAGAUAUUUGAUAUAUCUGCAAAACACUUUAGAAUAUUAUUUUUAUAAUAUUUGUACAAUAUUAGCUCCACGUGUCUCCCUAAUAUUUUGCAUACAUACAUACAUAACGUUUCCUUUCAUUUUAAUGUCAGUAAUUUUUAAAUAUUACCUGCCGAACACAUCAUAAAGUAAACAAUGUAUCUUUAUUAUACGUUUAUAAAUUAUUAAAGCCAAACAUGUCGCAGAGACUUUCAACAAAUAUUUUAGAUAUCUUGGAGUGAAAUCCACGAGACAUCUUAAAAAAUCUGUCGCUCGAGAUAUUUAGCAAAGAUAAGAAAAGAAAAUAUUUAAAAAUUAUUCUGUGCUGCUAGGGCCCAUUCAAAUCGGUUUUCAACCACGCUGAAAAGCUGUAUUUUCCCUAGCCAGUGUGAAUUAAUAUUUAAUAGAAAUUUUACUGCAAAAAAGUUGAACCCUUUCAACAGGGAGCAGGGUUUAGGGACGCUUGGCGUCGUCCCUAACCUCUCAUCCCCACUCCAAGAUCCACGCCGACGACACUUGCCGUGACUCAUUUGCUUCCACUAAAUUCCCCCCACCUCUGUCUCUUACUAAUUACACGGCUUUUAAGUUACGACACUUGUUUUCAUAGUAAUUCAUCGAGUCUCCAGGCAUGUACGGGAAGGCACCCGCACAGAGCGCUUCUUUACCAACCGGAUCUUUCUCGAGAUCCCUCAUUGGCUCAGUAUUGAACGGGAUGCCGCCGGCGCCACAGCUGCUUCUUCGUAACUCCCGUCGCUCCCCUCUUCACACGUGCCGAGUGUCUUCGAACUUCACACCUAGAGGGACGGAAUUGGCCGCUCUAGUCGGCCUACAGCCUCUUCGGCGUAACUCCAAGGUCUUCGCUAUUUAUAUCCCGCAUUGAGAGAAACUUUGGACACCAGAAAACGAGGCUUUGGACAGCUGCGUACAAUUAAUAUAAUGACCUUAGUAAAAAUAACCCGCGGCUCUGCAUUCCGACUGAUAAUUAUUAUCGAAUGUACGUUUAAUCAUACUUCACGGAGAAAAAGAGCCUUAAGGUGAUAUGAAAGACUUGUUCUAUAUAUCGAAAUGUGAAAAUAUUUAUUCUACUCUUCUCCUAACUGAGCGGAAUAUUGCGAAGAAUGUGGAAUACUGACCACUAUACUACCGAGGAAAAUUAGAUAUAUGUGUUUCGUAGAUUUGCAUUUAGUGACAUUACCUCUUUAUUGGGAAAUAGAUAAGCGGACUAACGAUUAGAAUUUUUAAGGGAUUAAUUAUAAGCCGAAUUGUCGACGAAUUCGAGAAUUCAUAUAAAAAUCCAUAAUUGUUAUGGAGAAAUAUUGGGAAGAAUGUGGAAUACUGACCACUAUACUACCGAGGAAAAUUAGAUGUAUGUGUUUCAUAGAUUUGCAUUUAAUGACAUUACCUCUUUAUUGGGAAAUAGAUAAGCGGACUGACGAUUAGAGCCUGUAAACGAUUAAUUAUAACCCCAAAUUUCGAGGAAAACAUUGAAUAUCAAAUUUACAAUCGUUGUACUUGCAAAAGUCUACUGAUACACGACAUUAAGUGUUCAAUUGCAUAAAUCUGUUCCAGACAUGUCUUUGCACUACAUAUAGCAUUACUUGAUACUUUUCGAACAGAUAAGCAAACGAUGUGAUGAAUUGCAUAAUAAAGACGUCUCAAGGUCA
Molecule: long non-coding RNA, 2276 nt
Filed under: Orussus abietinus
Lineage: Eukaryota; Metazoa; Arthropoda; Insecta; Hymenoptera; Orussidae
Description: uncharacterized LOC111673918, transcript variant X2
Source: RNAcentral